This 149-nucleotide ribosomal RNA is filed under the name Glossina morsitans morsitans. RNAcentral describes it as "5.8S ribosomal RNA". It matches the Rfam family "5.8S ribosomal RNA". From Rfam's summary of the family: 5.8S ribosomal RNA (5.8S rRNA) is a component of the large subunit of the eukaryotic ribosome. It is transcribed by RNA polymerase I as part of the 45S precursor that also contains 18S and 28S rRNA. The record is from RNAcentral. Lineage: Eukaryota; Metazoa; Arthropoda; Insecta; Diptera; Glossinidae.
CACUGUAAGCGGCCGAUCACUCGGAUCACGGCUCGAUGAAGGACGCGGCAAAUUGUGCGACUCGUGUGAUCUGCAGGACCCGUAAACAUUGUCAUUUUGAAUACAUAUCGCAGUCCAUGCUCUAAAGUACUUUGUUCAAUUCUGAAGUA